This is a long non-coding RNA of Phyllostomus hastatus (greater spear-nosed bat), 1059 nucleotides long. RefSeq lists it as uncharacterized. NCBI's taxonomy places the organism in Eukaryota, Metazoa, Chordata, Mammalia, Chiroptera, Phyllostomidae. The transcript has 3 exons. The record is from RefSeq and is a predicted model, not a curated record.
GGGAGGGAGGGCGCAUGCGCAUCUCCGCGGCUCAGGUGCCGGUGGUUCCCAAGGACGAGGAGAGAGCACGCAGCCUGCGUUCAGAGGACACCAAGCUGUGACCGGGCUCCACCAGGCCCUGCCCUCCAAACCCGAGUCCAGUCUGCACUCGCCCGAGAAGGAGGAUGUUUUCUUCUAAACAGACGCAGGGAGAGGACACCUUCCGGUGUCAGCUCUGGCGCGCGCAGAGUCCAGGAAGGAAAAGGGACCGUGCCCGCCCGUAACAGAAAACCUGUGACCCUCCACAGCCCCGCAGACCGCCUCCUGCACCUCACCUCGCCUCACCUCUCCAGGAGCUGCGGCGUGGGGCAGCACCGCCAGGCCCCACUCGGGCAGAGGCCAGGGCCAUAGGCCAAGGGCUCAAGGCCCUGGGUCCCCCAUGGCCUGGCCCUGCAGACGCGCUGCACAAGCCCAGCCCAAGUCCCUUCAAGGGGCGGCUCUGCCCGGCAGGCGUCCUGUGGCUCAUUCAACGCGACAGCCACGUUGAACAGCGCCUGAUGGAGUCGCCCCCCCCACCCCGACCCUGCCCAGCGUGAGUGUCCCAGCGAGGUGAUGUGGGUCUCGACGGGCCCGCCCUGCACCUGGCAGACUCGGGGGCCCCGUCCCUGACGGGCCGGCCCUGCUCCGAGGCACGGGCCCGCCCACCACGGCCUUCUGUGCAGGGCCCCCUCCCGGGUCCUCGCACAGACUCGCCCGCACCGGCCAAGCCCCAUCAAGAGCCAAACACUUGCCUUCUGCACAAAUCGGUCGCAGCCACGGCCUCAGAGAACGGGAGCUGGGUGAACUGCAAGUGGGACUGGGGACAUGCCAGCCCACCUGGGGCUCCGGCAGAGCAGCUUAGACUCCGGCAGGCCGGCCUGGGUGGCGUCUCCCUCCAACACUCCCCCUGCUACCAGUUCUUCAAGAAUUAGGAUGAUCACCCUGGCUGGUGCGGCUCAGUGGACUGAGUGCCAGCCUGCGAACCAAAGGGUCACCAGUUCAGCUCCCCAUCAGGGCAUGUGCCUGAGCUGUGGGCCAGGU